This is a long non-coding RNA of Tupaia belangeri chinensis (Chinese tree shrew), 446 nucleotides long. RefSeq lists it as uncharacterized. Lineage: Eukaryota; Metazoa; Chordata; Mammalia; Scandentia; Tupaiidae. The record is from RefSeq and is a predicted model, not a curated record. The transcript has 3 exons.
GAUGGAGGAGUAGAACUCUCCAGUACUCAUCCCCUGCAAAAAUAGCUUUUUAAACAGCUAUACACACAUGAAAAUACCUUCACAAGAGCUAAGGAAACCAGACUUUAUUGAAAGUCUUUCUAAUAGAGGACUCUGGCUACAAAUCAGAAAAUCAGGAUGACUAGGAUUAGAAUAAGAAUACCAAAGUUCUGAGUGGAUUUCACAAGGACUUCUGGAGAGCAUGUGUAUGCACAUGCAGAAGAAAGACAGAAAGAGCAAGAGAACACCGUCCAUCGGGUCGCAUCAUGCUGCAAGCCUCUUUCCUGAGACCCCAGCUCCUUAGAAUCCUCAGCCCUGAACACCUGCCCUGUGUGUUCUCAGGUCAACUCUGGGAUCUAAACUUACAGCCAACCAGAUGGCUCUCAGUCUUGAAGGGCAACUGAGACACCACCAUGCCAUUGCAACUG